GAUGAUUUGGCCGAGUGGUUAAGGCGUUGGAUUUAGGCUCCAAUCCAGAAAUGGGCGUGGGUUCAAAUCCCACAGUCAUCA
Molecule: transfer RNA, 81 nt
Filed under: Hypsibius dujardini
Lineage: Eukaryota; Metazoa; Tardigrada; Eutardigrada; Parachela; Hypsibiidae
Also listed under: 1 other name
Rfam family: tRNA
About the family: Transfer RNA (tRNA) molecules are approximately 80 nucleotides in length.
Source: Rfam by way of RNAcentral